Molecule: long non-coding RNA, 1418 nt
Organism: Leucoraja erinaceus (little skate)
Lineage: Eukaryota; Metazoa; Chordata; Chondrichthyes; Rajiformes; Rajidae
Exons: 3
Source: RefSeq, a predicted model, not a curated record
UCCAUAGAUGCUGCCUCACCCGUUGAGUUUCUCCAGCAUUUUUGUCUACCUUCGAUUUUUCAGCAUCUGCAGUUCCUUCUUAAAUACUCUGAGAAUAAUCUGUCUUUUCUUUAGUUUCAAAGCAAAGCCACUGAUUUCAGCAAUGAACAAUCCAAAAAUUCGUCGGGUCACCAGAUGUAACAAGUUUGAUGAUCGGUCUUCAGAUUCCAAGAGGCACCUAAACGGACCUUCACAGAAUGAACAAUGCAAACAGAAGAAAAGAACGAGUAUGGUACCCAAGAAAAAACCAUUUAUACCAUUUGCAGACAAACUCAAGAUGGAAGAGUUAGAGGAGGAUAAACUUGCAGUAAAAAUGUUAAACACGUGGGAAGCAUCUCCAUCUCUGGUAAACCCAUGAUUGGCAGUGAUGUGAAAAGAAAUGAAUAAAUAUGUCACACAGCAAAGGUCUUUGAUUCUCAUGUUAUUUUGUAAACGCUUGAAUCCUAAAUGAAUACUGGACUCCUUUAACCAAAAAGUCAAAAACCUUAUUUGGGAAUAGAGUUCAGUUUCAUCUUUGACACUCAUUUUACUAGAGGCAGGGAAAGGUCUUUAUGCAGGUGUCUUUCUGAGAAAAGUGCUCAAUUAGUCCCUGCCCACAUACUCUUCCACCUCCAUUAUAAUGGCAAAGAAAAAUGUGCUCACCAAAAAUCCAAUGCUUGGUCCCUCAUUAUUUGCCACAGCGCUUCAUGGUGGGAGAAAUAUGCCUCACACCCUAGGAAGCAAAGGAAAUCACAUUCCAGAUAGUGAUGUAUAUGAAAGCAGCUUAAAAUAAUCCUAAAAGCUUUCCUCGCUCCUUUUUUUGAAGAAUAUAUUAUACCCCUGUUCAGCCUCAAAACUUCCCCUUCUAAAAUCAGACCAGGCUGAAUGUGGAACAGUUACUCCUAAAAAUGAACAAAUGAACUAUCAUGCAUUGUGAAUGCAAGUGCUUGAAUAUUGGAACUGAGACUUUGUUCUUUAUUUAAAUAAGCAUAACAUUGAGCAUUUUGACAGUGCAAUAUUGGUAGACUGAUCCAGAAAAUUAAGAUGUAGCAGAUUAACAGUGGAAUUAGCCACAUGGAAUCAGAACUGGUUUACUGAUAGAAGGCAGAAGUUAGUGACGGUGGGAUAAUAUUUAGGCUGGAGGUCUGUGACAAGUAGAGUUCCACAGGGAUCUUUGAUGGGAAAUCUGCCUUUUAGUUUAGUUUAGAGAUACAGCACAGAAACAGGCCCUUCGGCCCACCGAGUCCGCGCUGGCCAGUGAUCGUACUAUUAACACUAUCCUACACACACUAGGGACAAUUUACACUUACACCAAGCCAAUUAACCUACAAACCUGUAUGUCUUUGGAAUGUGGGAGGAAACCGAAGAUCUCGGUGAAAACCCACGCGGUCACGGGGACA